UACGAAGGGGGCUAGCGUUGCUCGGAAUCACUGGGCGUAAAGGGCGCGUAGGCGGGAUGGCAAGUCGGUCGUGAAAUCCUUCGGCUCAACCGAAGAACGUCGGCCGAUACUGCCGUUCUUGAGGGAUGCAGAGGAGAUUGGAAUUCCCGGUGUAGCGGUGAAAUGUGUAGAGAUCGGGAGGAACACCGGUGGCGAAGGCAGCUCGCUGGGACGUAACUGACGCUGAGACGCGAAAGCGUGGGGAGCAAACAGG
This 253-nucleotide ribosomal RNA is filed under the name uncultured bacterium. RNAcentral's name for it is "partial 16S ribosomal RNA". It matches the Rfam family "Bacterial small subunit ribosomal RNA", at positions 524 to 776 of the family's 1533-position model. The record is from RNAcentral.